This 614-nucleotide ribosomal RNA is filed under the name Limosilactobacillus mucosae. Its description in RNAcentral is "bacterial SSU rRNA". Lineage: Bacteria; Bacillati; Bacillota; Bacilli; Lactobacillales; Lactobacillaceae. The record is from RNAcentral.
GGGUUUCCGCCCUUCAGUGCCGCAGCUAACGCAUUAAGCWMUCCGCCUGGGGAGUACGACCGCAAGGUUGAAACUCAAAGGAAUUGACGGGGGCCCGCACAAGCGGUGGAGCAUGUGGUUUAAUUYGAAGCUACGCGAAGAACCUUACCAGGUCUUGACAUCUUGCGCCAACCCUAGAGAUAGGGCGUUUCCUUCGGGAACGCAAUGACAGGUGGUGCAUGGUCGUCGUCAGCUCGUGUCGUGAGAUGUUGGGUUAAGUCCCGCAACGAGCGCAACCCUUGUUACUAGUUGCCAGCAUUCAGUUGGGCACUCUAGUGAGACUGCCGGUGACAAACCGGAGGAAGGUGGGGACGACGUCAGAUCAUCAUGCCCCUUAUGACCUGGGCUACACACGUGCUACAAUGGACGGUACAACGAGUCGCGAACUCGCGAGGGCAAGCUAAUCUUUUAAAACCGUUUUCAGUUCGGACUGCAGGCUGCAACUCGCCUGCCCGAAGUUGGAAUCGCUAGUAAUCGCGGAUCAGCAUGCCGCGGUGAAUACGUUCCCGGGCCUUGUACACACCGCCCGUCACCCCCUGAGAGUUUGCAACACCCAAAGUCGGUGGGGUAACCCU